Molecule: long non-coding RNA, 6100 nt
Filed under: Nicotiana tabacum (common tobacco)
Lineage: Eukaryota; Viridiplantae; Streptophyta; Magnoliopsida; Solanales; Solanaceae
Description: long non-coding RNA (NTAB_LNC011908)
Source: RNAcentral
CCCAAUACAAUCCUCGCCGAAGAGAGCCUUUCAGAAAGAAUCAGUUCACCCCUAUUGGUGAAUCGUAUUCAAGCUUGUUCCAAAAGCUAAUCAGGCUAGAUCUAUUGCAGCCAGUGGCCCCAAACUGGCCGAACCCUGAGUCCCCCUCACACCGAGCUGAUGCUAGAUGUAAAUACCACUCUGGAGCAGUAAGAUACAAUACAGAGGACUGUUGGACCCUUAAAAAGGCAGUUGAAGACUUGAUUGAAGCUGAAAGAAUCGUUUUUUGGGAUGAAGAAGCUCAUGAUGUGAUGAACAACUUGUUGCCUGCUCACAACACUGGGCCAAUAGUCGGAAUGAUUUGUGAAGAUGAAGAAUUUGAUCCGGCACUAAAGGCUAUUGCAGCCAUUGCCGAAAUAGAAGAAAAGGUGAAAGACAGUCGCCAAGCCUGAAGUUCCCCAUCAGAUGGGAGUCUCGGUAGCCAGUCUUGCUAUCCUUUCUGCGUCCGAAUUUUCUCAGGGUGUGAUUUAGAUGUUUUACUUUAUUGUCUUACUUUCCGAUGUAAACCAUUCUAUCUUCAACAAUUGAAAAAAAAAAUCAAAAAAUCAAUCAAAAAUAAUAAAAAAAACAAAUGAAAUUAAUAUUUCAUUGUCCAGGAAUGCCUCUUUUCUUAAUUUUGUCAUUUUUCUUAUUCUUUUUUUAGCUCUGUUAAAUGCAGAUUUCAAUAACAUGACAUACUUGUGGACUUCAUGUCCAGAUCCUAAAAUGUUGUCAGACUUCGAAAUAAUGAAUCAAGAAUUAGAUUGCAAUGAAGAUAAGUUUAAGGAAAUAAAACAAAGAGUUGGAACAACUAAAUAAAAUUGGUUCCAGAUUGGAAAGGUCCAUAAAUUACAACAAGAGUAUUGCCAAAAGAGAGCGUUGUACCUGGAAAACAUCGAAGGAAAUGUCCCUGAAACAACUGUCAAUGCAAAUGCAGUCAAAAGGUACUAUGUUGGAUCCUCUAUAUAGAAUUAAUGUUCUCCCAUUGGGAUGAAUAAGGCUUUCUUUCUCACUAUCCAAACAUUAUCAACCCUUUGUAAACCCUUUGAGCCGGUUACUUUUCUUUGAUUACCCUCUUUGGAACCUGAAAGUGUUAUUGAAAAAAUAAUAAUAAAAAAUUGAAAAAAUGAAAUGAAGAAAAAAAAAGAAAAGAGAAGAAAAAGAAAAUACAAAAAGGAAGAAAAGGGAAAAAAGAAAAUGAAAUGAAAAAUGAAAAAGGGGAAAGGAAAAAGGAAAGGAAAAGAAAGAGAAAGAGAAAACAAAACAGAAAGACAAAAGAGAAUAAAAAAAAAUAAAGUUUCUUGAACUACAUUCGAUUUGAUUUCGAAAGGAUACGUAGACAGUCUCUCUCUGGGAUUCAGUCACACCAAAAUUAAAAUCCAAUCUCCCAAAAGUGAAACUAGGGUAGAUGUUAUAAUGGUUCGGCGAUGAUCCCGCCUGAAUGGUUCCAAAUUGUAAUUCAAUCCAAAUCAUAUUUACCCAAAUCCUUUCAAGUCCUUCUGAUCAAUCGGUGAGAAUGUUCAAGGAUCAGAGAAUACAGCUACUUGGAUUCGAUGCAAUCAAAAUGAGAGAAAUAAAAUGAGAGAGUCUUAUUGGUGAAAACCCACACGGGCACCGUGAGGCGACAGUAAGUAGAGAAACGGAAAAUGAGAGAGUCUUAUUAGUGAAAACUCGCAAAGAGCACUAUAAGGCGAUGGUGAGAAGAGAAAUAAGAGAGGUCAGUCAGUGAAAACCCGCAAAAGGCUCCACUGAUCGAAAAGAGGAUCCUCACAACCAUCAGCAUCAAUAGAGUCCUGGCAAGAUUCUUCGGUUUUAAGGCAAAGUUGUGAUGAAUUUCUGAGAGUCGGACGGUUUAUACAGAUCAGACAUCCAGUCCAAAAGGCAUGUCAUGUUCAUUGAAGUCCGCAUGUGUUCCAGAUAAGUCCUUCUUUCCUUUCCCCGAAAGGGACACUUUUUGUUUACACUCAUUCUCUAUUCCAUUGUUUGUUUUCUUUGAAUCCCUUUCGGUCUAACUCUGUUCCAAAACUAAGACAAAGAAAUGAUAGUAAGACUGAUUUACAGGGCUUUCGUUUGACACAAGCUAAUAUGCAAAAAAGGCACCCAGCCUUGUCAGGGACAUCAAGUCGACCUCGACUGGCCAUGGCGGCCAAUGCUUCGAAUUCAAGACUCUCGAAAGGAGAAAAUCAAAUUGAAGUGGCUAUAAAGGAAAAUGAAGUUGAAAAGGUUGAGUCCCACAUGGCUAACCGUCUCGGCAAAGAUUUAAAAGCCAAGGUACCCAAAUGCUCCGAAAUUGAAAUUGGAAGAAAGAAUUCAGAAAUGAAAGGCCUAUAAAGGCGAAAUAAAGUUAGAAAAGGUUAGGUCCCAUGCGACUAGCCGUUGCGACAAAGUCUGAGGAGCCAAAAGUUCCCCAAUACUCCAAAGUUAAAAAAAAAAAAAAAAAGAAAAACAAAAGGAAAAAGAAAAAAAGUCGAAAGGGAAAGGCCUAAGAAGGAAAAAUAAAGUCGAUAUGGUUGAGUUCCACCGAGCAAUAAUCAUGGCAAAGUCUGGAAAAACCAGAGGUUCUCCAGGGCCUGAAAUGAAAUCGCUCCUCAGGGAACAUGCAGUUGUAGUUAAGAUCUUCAUCAAAGAAGCUAGGCCGAGAUCAAGUGAUUGAAACAAUCAAGGCCACAAAACCAACCACCGUUUCAAAUUAACAAUUAUUCUUUGUUUGAAAACAGGAAACAUGUGCAAUCCAAAGCAACCUUGCAAGAAGCAGGUGCAACCAAAAAGAAACUGCGCAAGAGCUAGAAACAGCUCUGCCGCAAUAAUCAAUCCAAAAGGAAAGUCUCCUCCAAAUUCUUUCCUGCAUUUUAUUCAUUCUCUUAAAAUGAAAAAAAAAAGAGAAAAGAAAAAAAAUGAAAAUAAUAAGAAGAAAAAUUCAAAAUCAUGGUAGCAUAAGCUUUCUAGUCUCUAGCUACGUCUUUUCCAACAUAGGGUCUCAUUUCCUAGUCGCUGCCAGCAUAACCUGGUAGUCUUUUUCCAGUAUAGGGUCCCACUUCCUAGUUGACCCUGGCAUAACCCGAGGAUUUUUUAUUUUCCGGCAUAACCCGACGACUUUUUCGGUAUAACCCGUGGACCUCCCUAGCAUAACUUGAGGACCUUUUUUUUCUUUUCCGGCAUAACCCGUAGACUUCCCCGGCAUAACUCGAUGACCUUUUUCUUUACCGGCAUAACCUGAUGACUUUCCCGGUAUAACCCGUGGACCUUCCCGGCAUAACCCGAGGACCUUUUGCUUUUUCCGGCAUAACCCGUGGAACUCCCCAACAUAACCCGAGGACCUUUUUUCUUUUCCGGCAUAACCCGAUGACUUUCCCGAUAUAACCCGUGGACCUCCUCGGCAUAACUCGAGGACCUUUUUCUUUUUCCGGCAUAACCCGGGGAUCUUUUUUUUUCUUUUCCGGCAUAACUCGAUGACUUUCCCGACAUAACUCGUGGACCUCCCCAGCAUAACCCGAGACUUUUUUCUUUUUCCGCCAUAACCCGAUGACUUUCCCGCCAUAACCCAUGGACCUCCCCGGCAUAACCUGAGGACCUUUUUUCUUUUCCGGCAUAACCCGAUGACUUCCCCGGCAUAACGCGUGGGCCUCCCCAGUAUAACUCGAGGACCUUUUUUCUUUUCCGGCAUAACUCGAUGACCUUUCCCGGCAUAACUUGGGACCUUCCCGGUAUAACCUGAUGACCUUUUUCUUUUCUAGCAUAACCCGAUGACCUUUCCCGGCAUAACCCGUGGACCUCCCCGGCAUAACCCGAUGACCUUUUUCUUUUCCGGCAUAACCCGAUGACUUUCCCGGCAUAACCCGCGGAUCUCUCUGGCAUAACCCGAUGACUUUUCUGGCAUAACCCGAGGAUGCUUUUUCUUUUUCGGCAUAACCCGAUGACCUUCCCUAGCAUAACCCGAGUACCUUUCCGGCAUAACCCGAUUAUUUUUCCAGCAUAACCUGGCAAUCUUUCGAACUUAGGGCCUCCGAUCCCCAUUUGGUUUCAUUUUAGAUAUAAAGUCUCCACUCCCUAAUCUCUUUUCCUCAAGGAUACACAAUCCUGAUUUUGCUGCUUUCAAUAAAGAAGUAGUUUAGAUUUUUGUUACAAUAACUCACGAAAUUUUCCUAAUGAAAACUAGGGCAAAAAAUUUCGUUCGUUUAUUUGUUUUGGUGCCUGAGCAGGUUUUUACCUUGAGGUACAAGUUUCGAGGCGCCCAAAAGAAGUCAUGAUUCAAAUAAAAGAAAAGAAAAACAAGAAAAGAAGUGAACUCUAAGUGUAGAAGCGGAGAAAAGAUGCGGACUGCUCAAUAUAUGAUUGAAGUCACAAGCUUUGCAUGUCCCGCCUUGAUCCGAAAAGCUGAAGAAGAAUGAAUCAGCGGUUGCAGCUAACGAGCAUCAAGAUUCAGAUCAGAGUCUGCAGGAAGAACUAACCAAGACUCAAGAUCAAGCUUUCGAAAGUUUAUAGAUAGGAAUCUUGUAACUCGUAGUUGAUAGGCUUAGCUAGUUUAGCUUUUCAUCUUUCAUUUGGUAUAAUAAGGAGCUCAACAAGCAGAAACAACAGUGAAAUCACAGCUUCUCGGUAGUCCCAGCUACCAAAACUUCCAGAACUACACCGACCUGAUUCCUUUAUAGCCAAGGAUAUGUAGGCAAUCUCUAAAGCAAGGUUCGGUCAAACUUUUUAACAAUGCUUCUAAAUGGAGUUUCAAACGGGCAAAAAUUGCUCGUAGUUGCUCACUUUAUCUUUGUCCGAAAACUCUUCAUGUUUCUGAGCAAAGAGAGACAGGUGUGAGCACCUAAUUUUUGCCCCACAUAGAAAUAACUCCUAAAUAUAGACCAAAAAUAAUUUUUAAGGGAUUUUAGAAGUUUUUCUUUAUUUAGUUACAUUUCAUGCAUUUUUAAUAUUUUAAAAUCAUAGUAAAAUCAUAAACAAAUUGUCACGUUUUAAUGUUAUGCCAUCUUAGGUUUAAUUUGCAUGUAGGAAUUAAUUUUAUUAAGCAAAAAAUCACAAAAAAUGGUAAUUUUUACAUAUUUAGAUUUUAGCCUUUAAAAUUAACAUUUUUCUUUAGUUUUAAAUUAAUUAGUUAUUUUAAUAUUAAAAAUAGAUAAAGAAUUUUAUUUCUACAAAAAUAAAUUGAUUUAAGAUUUUAAUUAAUUUAAUUAGAAUUUAAAAUCAAAGAAAAAGAUAAGAAAAAAACAAAGAAAAUGAAAAUAGAAAGAAUAUCUUUUUGGUCUUGUUUUUUUUUUUUAAAAUUUGGCCAAUUCCUAAAAUGACCCAAAUUAACUUUUAAACCUCAACCCAAUCUUACCUUUCCCCAUUUUUUUCCCUUAAAUUCCUAGACCAAACACACAUCAGAUAGACCUAAAUCAAAUCCCCCUUUCCUAACAGCAGCGGUGCAAGAGAGCAACGAAGAAACCAGCGGUCCUCCAUCUUGAUACACACAUUCUCGCACGAAAAGAAGAAGUUGAAAACUCAAAACUUCUGUAGUUCAAAUUCAAUAUUUAGAUCUAAAAAAAAAACAAAAAAAAAGAGUUAAAAAUUCUGGAAACCAAAGAAAGCAGUAGCUAUCUUCCAUUGAUUCCAAAGGACAUCCUCUGUCGUUUUAUGGGUUCUUCAAGCCGGAUUCCAUCUGUGUUUGGAGCUUUUUCUGUUAUAGCAACUAGCUGAGCUCAUCUUUGUUUGUUUCAACCUUUAUUUGGUCUUAAUUUCUUCUACCGUGCUGUUUUCGAGGUAACUUAUCUGUUGCCUUCAUAUAUUUUUGUUUCUUUCUAAUGUGUUGAAUCUAAUAAUGAAAUGAUAUUGUAUGGCAGUGAGUUUGAAAUGUAAUUACUGGAUCUAUAUCAUUAGUGCUUUGUGUUUGUUUAAUACGAAUCAAAUGAGUUAGACUUUUGUAUGCUCUUCGUGAAUUCAUGGAAAUUGAUUACAACAUGCGGUUGUUUAGGCUGAAAGUAAUGUCUCGCAACUAAAACCUUUUAUGAGAAUUAAUAAAACUCAACAUUUGAAAAUAAAGUACUGAAAAUGGCAAUGAAGAGAUUGAGAAAAUCUCCAAAAUGGAAUUACUUGCAAC